CUGAUGCUACGGUGCUUGAGUGGGCGUGGCCUCGUGAGAUAAUCUGGAAACAACAGCAGUGGACCAAAAUUCCUUCACAACCAUUUAAGAGACUGAUAACGUCAUACAGGAAACCAUUACUUCUCAAGCUGUUGGAUCAUGAAAUGGGCUUCUGCAGUG
This is a long non-coding RNA of Melanotaenia boesemani (Boeseman's rainbowfish), 159 nucleotides long. RefSeq lists it as uncharacterized. NCBI's taxonomy places the organism in Eukaryota, Metazoa, Chordata, Actinopteri, Atheriniformes, Melanotaeniidae. The transcript has 3 exons. The record is from RefSeq and is a predicted model, not a curated record.